CGGGGCCGUAACACUGUCUGAGAGGUUUACAUUUCUCACAGUGAACCGGUCUCUUU
RNAcentral lists this microRNA precursor (56 nucleotides) under Columba livia (rock pigeon). RNAcentral describes it as "Cli-Mir-128-P2_pre stem-loop". It matches the Rfam family "mir-128 microRNA precursor family", at positions 15 to 71 of the family's 83-position model. Lineage: Eukaryota; Metazoa; Chordata; Aves; Columbiformes; Columbidae. The record is from RNAcentral. RNAcentral also lists the same sequence under 1 other name.